AUGAACCCACUGUUGCCGGAGAAAAGAAGCCACGACUGCUAUGAGAGGAGCAGACCUGGGAAGCUCCCACAAGGUAAAGGUGCCUGCAAUCCACCAAACGCGACGCUUGAGACACCGCCGACAAUAUCGAGAGCAACCUCGCCACCUAAGCAACACGAGGUGAAUGCAAUCGAUGUUGCCGAACUCUCGAGGCCGCCGCCUCGACCUCCGAUGCUCCGUUGUGCCCUGCAUAGUCCACCAACAUACCACUUUCCGGGACCGCCGUCCCGACAUACCACCACUCGCCCUCAAGCUGCAACGCCGCACAACUUAGUCACCCACAACCCAAGAUGA
RNAcentral lists this ribosomal RNA (333 nucleotides) under Triticum aestivum (bread wheat). RNAcentral describes it as "partial small subunit ribosomal RNA". Lineage: Eukaryota; Viridiplantae; Streptophyta; Magnoliopsida; Poales; Poaceae. The record is from RNAcentral.